Molecule: ribosomal RNA, 279 nt
Filed under: Triticum aestivum (bread wheat)
Lineage: Eukaryota; Viridiplantae; Streptophyta; Magnoliopsida; Poales; Poaceae
Description: partial small subunit ribosomal RNA
Source: RNAcentral
AUGUCGACAAUAGAUCCACUUGUCCAAGGAUCCUUUUGGCAUAUACUCAUAAACCAAGAGCCUAUGGGUUUUCUCUGCACAGAAACAAAACAGUCUCACCAGAUUGAUAUGAUGAAUGCUGCCAAUUGUCUGAACCUCUGCUAAGAAUUCUCUCUUUCCUUGACCAGCUCGAUCCAAGCGUUUUGCCGCAAUCCUUUCCUCACCUAGCCGUCCCUUGAAAACAGAACCAAAUCCUCCUUCCCCAAGCUUGUCUUUGAACUGCUCGGUUGCCACUUCUAA